AAGUCAGCAUGGCCUUUAUAUCUUGGGCUACACACACGCUACAAUGGUCUGUACAAUAGGUUGCCAAGCCGCGAGGCGGAGCCAAUCCUAAAAGCAGGCCUCAGUUCAGAUUGCAGUCUGCAACCCGACUGCAUGAAGAUGGAGUUGCUAGUAACCGCAGGUCAGCUAUACUGCGGUGAAUACGUUCCCGGGUCUU
This 196-nucleotide ribosomal RNA is filed under the name uncultured Anaerolineaceae bacterium. Its description in RNAcentral is "partial 16S ribosomal RNA". It matches the Rfam family "Bacterial small subunit ribosomal RNA", at positions 1187 to 1382 of the family's 1533-position model. Lineage: Bacteria; Bacillati; Chloroflexota; Anaerolineae; Anaerolineales; Anaerolineaceae. The record is from RNAcentral.